UUCAUAAACUUAUCAAAGUCAUUUUUUUCCAUUACUUGCAUUUAACAAUUUCAAUCUGAGUUUGAUGACCUUCAUCAACUUGCCAGUGAGUGAGUGAGUGAGUAUGUAUGCUUUUUACGCCGUUUU
Molecule: long non-coding RNA, 126 nt
Organism: Haliotis rubra (blacklip abalone)
Lineage: Eukaryota; Metazoa; Mollusca; Gastropoda; Lepetellida; Haliotidae
Exons: 3
Source: RefSeq, a predicted model, not a curated record